Small nucleolar RNA from Sciurus vulgaris (Eurasian red squirrel), 104 nucleotides. The record is from Ensembl. NCBI's taxonomy places the organism in Eukaryota, Metazoa, Chordata, Mammalia, Rodentia, Sciuridae.
AUCCUUUUAUGGUUCAUAUGUGUGAUGGCUGGGUUUUCAUGCCAUUGUGUGAGAUGUGCCACCCUGAUAUCCCAUUAUGAUGUUGGUACAUUACCCAUCUGAUG